This 388-nucleotide ribosomal RNA is filed under the name uncultured bacterium. RNAcentral's name for it is "bacterial SSU rRNA". It matches the Rfam family "Bacterial small subunit ribosomal RNA", at positions 30 to 417 of the family's 1533-position model. The record is from RNAcentral.
AUUGAACGCUGGCGGCAUGCCUUACACAUGCAAGUCGAACGGCAGCACGGGAGCAAUCCUGGUGGCGAGUGGCGAACGGGUGAGUAAUACAUCGGAACGUGCCCAGUAAUGGGGGACAACUAGUUGAAAGAUUAGCUAAUACCGCAUACGACCUACGGGUGAAAGCAGGGGAUCGCAAGACCUUGCGUUAUUGGAGCGGCCGAUGUCAGAUUAGCUUGUUGGUGAGGUAAAAAGCUCACCAAGGCGACGAUCUGUAGCUGGUCUGAGAGGACGACCAGCCACACUGGAACUGAGACACGGUCCAGACUCCUACGGGAGGCAGCAGUGGGGAAUUUUGGACAAUGGGCGCAAGCCUGAUCCAGCCAUGCCGCGUGAGUGAAGAAGGCCU